CAAAGGUUUGGUCCUAGCCUUGUAUUCAAUUAUUGUUUAACUUAUACAUGCAAGUAUCCGCACCCCUGUGAGAACGCCCUUUAUUUUCUAUUGAAACAAGGAGCUGGUAUCAGGCACUAUAGACAGCCCAAAACACCUAGCUACGCCACAUCCUCAAGGAACUUCAGCAGUAAUUAACAUUGAGUAUAAGCGUCAGCUUGACUCAGUUAAGAUAAAGAAAGCCGGCAAAUACGGUGCCAGCCGCCGCGGUUACACCACGAGGCUUAAAUUGACUACUUUCGGCGUAAAGCGUGAUUAAAGUGUCUGCUAAAUAUAGUUACAUUUUAACUAAGCCGUGACACGCUUGUUAUUAAGAAACUCAUCAACGAAAGUUACUAUAUAUCUACCAACUUGAAUUCACGACAGCUAGGAAACAAACUGGGAUUAGAUACCCCACUAUGCCUAGCCGUAAACUUUUAAUUACAUCCAUAUCGCCUGGGAACUACGAGCCAAGCUUAAAACCCAAAGGACUUGACGGUACCCCAUAUCCCCCUAGAGGAGCCUGUCCUAUAAUCGAUAACCCCCGUUUAACCUCACCAUUUUUAGCUUAUCAGCCUGUAUACCUCCGUCGUCAGCUUACCUCGUGAGCGUCACAUAGUGAGCUUAAUGUUCUUACACCAGUACGUCAGGUCAAGGUGCAGUAUAUGAAAUGGAAAGAGAUGGGCUACACUCUCUAUAUUAGAGUAAACGAAAGACUAUUUAUGAAAUCUAGUCGGAAGGCGGAUUUAGUAGUAAAGAGGGACUAUAGCGCCCCCUUUAACUCGGCACUGGGGUGUGUACACACCGCCCGUCACCCUCUUCACAGUGAACUCGCAGUAAAUAACUAUACUCAACAAACAAGAAGAGGCAAGUCGUAACAUGGUAAGCGUACCGGAAGGUGUGCUUGGAAACAAAAU
Molecule: non-coding RNA, 935 nt
Filed under: Tlalocohyla godmani (Godman's treefrog)
Lineage: Eukaryota; Metazoa; Chordata; Amphibia; Anura; Hylidae
Description: 12S ribosomal RNA
Rfam family: Bacterial small subunit ribosomal RNA
Source: RNAcentral